GCGGGUGUAGCUCAGCGGUAGAGCGCCUGCCUUCCAAGCAGGAUGUCGCGGGUUCGAAUCCCGUCACCCGCU
This 72-nucleotide transfer RNA is filed under the name Chloroflexota bacterium. RNAcentral's name for it is "Chloroflexi bacterium (freshwater metagenome) tRNA-Gly". It matches the Rfam family "tRNA". Rfam says of the family: Transfer RNA (tRNA) molecules are approximately 80 nucleotides in length. Their secondary structure includes four short double-helical elements and three loops (D, anti-codon, and T loops). Further hydrogen bonds mediate the characteristic L-shaped molecular structure. tRNAs have two regions of fundamental functional importance: the anti-codon, which is responsible for specific mRNA codon recognition, and the 3' end, to which the tRNAs corresponding amino acid is attached (by aminoacyl-tRNA synthetases). tRNAs cope with the degeneracy of the genetic code in two manners: having more than one tRNA (with a specific anti-codon) for a particular amino acid; and 'wobble' base-pairing, i.e. permitting non-standard base-pairing at the 3rd anti-codon position. The record is from RNAcentral. Lineage: Bacteria; Bacillati; Chloroflexota.